GGGUUGUGAGGUUAAGCGACUAAGCGUACACGGUGGAUGCCCUGGCAGUCAGAGGCGAUGAAGGGCGUACUAAUCUGCGAUAAGCGCCGGUAAGGUGAUAUGAACCGUUAUAACCGGCGAUACCCGAAUGGGGAAACCCAGUGUGAUUCGUCACACUAUCAUUAACUGAAUCCAUAGGUUAAUGAGGCGAACCGGGGGAACUGAAACAUCUAAGUACCCCGAGGAAAAGAAAUCAACCGAGAUUCCCCCAGUAGCGGCGAGCGAACGGGGAGGAGCCCAGAGCCUGAAUCAGCAUGUGUGUUAGUGGAAGCGUCUGGAAAGGCGCGCGAUACAGGGUGACAGCCCCGUACACAAAAGCGCAUGUGCUGUGAGCUCGAUGAGUAGGGCGGGACACGUGGUAUCCUGUCUGAAUAUGGGGGGACCAUCCUCCAAGGCUAAAUACUCCUGACUGACCGAUAGUGAACCAGUACCGUGAGGGAAAGGCGAAAAGAACCCCGGCGAGGGGAGUGAAAAAGAACCUGAAACCGUGUACGUACAAGCAGUGGGAGCCCCACCACCAAAGCAUUUGCUGUACCGCGUUGACGGAGCGAAGCGACGUCAAACCG
RNAcentral lists this ribosomal RNA (605 nucleotides) under Salmonella enterica subsp. enterica serovar Enteritidis. RNAcentral's name for it is "partial 23S ribosomal RNA". It matches the Rfam family "Bacterial large subunit ribosomal RNA", at positions 1 to 590 of the family's 2925-position model. Lineage: Bacteria; Pseudomonadati; Pseudomonadota; Gammaproteobacteria; Enterobacterales; Enterobacteriaceae. The record is from RNAcentral.